Transfer RNA from Camelus ferus (Wild Bactrian camel), 72 nucleotides. It matches the Rfam family "tRNA". From Rfam's summary of the family: Transfer RNA (tRNA) molecules are approximately 80 nucleotides in length. Their secondary structure includes four short double-helical elements and three loops (D, anti-codon, and T loops). The record is from Rfam. NCBI's taxonomy places the organism in Eukaryota, Metazoa, Chordata, Mammalia, Artiodactyla, Camelidae.
GAGGGUAUAGCUCAGUGGUAGAGCACAUGCUUAGCAUGCACGAGGUCCUGGGUUCACUCCCCAGUACCUCUA